UACGGGGGGGGCAAGCGUUGUUCGGAAUUACUGGGCGUAAAGGGCUGGUAGGCGGCCAACUAAGUCGGAUGUGAAAUCCCCAGGCUUAACCUGGGAACUGCAUCCGAUACUGGUCGGCUUGAAUCCGGGAGAGGGAUGCAGAAUUCCAGGUGUAGCGGUGAAAUUCGUAGAUAUUGGGAAGAACACCGGUGGCGAAGGCGGCGACCUGGUCCGAUACUGACGCUGAGGCGCGAAAGCGUGGGAGCAAACAGG
This 252-nucleotide ribosomal RNA is filed under the name uncultured bacterium. RNAcentral's name for it is "partial 16S ribosomal RNA". It matches the Rfam family "Bacterial small subunit ribosomal RNA", at positions 524 to 776 of the family's 1533-position model. The record is from RNAcentral.